GGAAAACGAUUCAUAUAUCUGACCCCAACUAAUUAAGCAAUACGAUAAUGAUUUAAAAAAAGUAUAUCAAAGCUAGUCCAUAUUAGAAACAACAGCCAACUUGGACAAGAUGAACCACAAAGAAACAAUAACCAAACAGGAACACAUAUAACCAAACCUUCUAUCUAUCCUAUAACUAUGCAAGUUAUAAUAAGUCCAAGAAACCCACACACCUCCUCUGGAGUCCAGCCACCUU
Molecule: unclassified non-coding RNA, 235 nt
Filed under: Hevea brasiliensis (rubber tree)
Lineage: Eukaryota; Viridiplantae; Streptophyta; Magnoliopsida; Malpighiales; Euphorbiaceae
Source: RNAcentral